This is a non-coding RNA of Plutella xylostella (diamondback moth), 547 nucleotides long. The record is from RefSeq and is a predicted model, not a curated record. Lineage: Eukaryota; Metazoa; Arthropoda; Insecta; Lepidoptera; Plutellidae.
UUUGGUCUUAUUACUUCUUUUAUGUAAUCUUGAGAAGUAAAGUUGUUUAAAGAUGGAUCGCUAACUGUAUUAUAUAGAAUAUCUGUUAUUGUGGGUAGAUGAUAACUUCCCAGGGGAUCAUCAUGAACUGUCCAGUUACAAUUAAGAGCUAUAGAAGGACUAACUAUUGUCAAAUCUAAACCAUUUGGUCUCCAGAUAUUUGUUCCUACUGUGGUUGGUGAAGUGUCAUUUAAUAAAACUAAAUUGCAAUCAUUUAUAGAGGACAUCUCUUCCACGAGCACUGACGGAUUGACAGCCCCAAAUGGUGUGAUGAGCAUUAAAAUCGCCUGAUACAAAACAUGGUUUAGAUGGAGCAGCGUUCCGAGUUCUUACAAAACUUUGCUAAAUGGCCAUACCUGAGACACCGGAAACAUUGCUUGACUGGAGGAACAUACGCUGAAAUAUCAUGCCGCCACCCGUCCAAGUCGACGUAGUCUGGAAGUACUGACGUCGCGAAGGUGAUGGCUACAGUCUGCAGGGGCUGUAGAAUAAAAUUGUUGUCAAUCUU